GCUGCAUGGCUGAGAAGUGUCCUGUGUCCUGAGAGAACAACAGCUCACCCCAAGGCCAAGGGUGUAUUUCCUUGUGACAUAAAACCCAGCAGAGCCCAGUCUGCCCUGUGAUCUCAAUGCUCAGAGAAGGACUCUUGACCUUCCUGGGUGGUCUCAGAAGACCAUCAGAAGAGCUGGCUGGCUGCCUUUCAUACUUCUCCACCUAUGCUGAGCACACUGAGUCUCAGGAAGAGAUACCCAGUGAGCUUCUGUACCAGGAUCAUUGCAGGAGAGUCUUGCCAUGGCCUCAACAACUUCACUGGUAUCCAGAUUGCUGGCCUAGGUCUUAAACUUUCAGAGGUCAAAUUUAAAAUAUUACUACAAUUAACACAGGGUUUUUCCAUGUAGUUUUGGUGCCUGUCCUGGAUCUCGUCUGUAGACCCGGCUGGCCUCUAACUCACAGAGAUCUGCCUGGCUCUGCCUCCUGAGUGCUGGACUUAAAAGAGUGUGCCACCACUGCCCAGCUGCAAUCACAUUACUUAAUAAGCUAGCAACCCAAUUUGUUUUAGUUGUUACAUUUCUAUAGAAUUUAACCAGGAAUUUCUAGAAAGCAACUUAAAGAGCAGAGCCACAUUCUCAGUAAUGAACCACAGACAAGAGCAUAACCAAUAUAUAGUUUAAAAUUAUGAAUCCUGUUCCUUUAUUUUAUCUACCAUGAAAAUCAAACAUUCAUCCAAACAUUUGCAGACAAUCAAAAAAAGAGAACAUCCUCUAUACACUGAAUGAUUAAUAUCUCUGGAAAUUUAAACAGCAUUGACUUAGCAUUCGAAGUCCUGACCGCAACUGUUCUUUACCAGAAGUUGGGCCCAUUUAAACUUCCUCUUUCUCACAUAAGAGACUAUUAAUAAUGAGUUAUUUCAACCACUAGGGAAAAACAGAAAACAUUUCCCACAAAGGGAUCUUUAAUAUCGAGUUAUUCCUGCUCUGAGGGAAAAAUAAAAAACAUUCAUAACAAGGUUAAGCAAACAGACAACAAAAUUCUAAGCUCUGGGUUUGCUUGCUUGUUCAGCCAGCAGCAGUGAGGCCCACCUGCUGAUUCUUUGUAAUUCAGAUACGGACAUUCUGUGCUGGCAGGUAGAAAGAACUCAGAGUUUUAGCAAUCCUGAGAUUUUUAUAUUGGAAAGAAUCUUUUCUUCCUCUAUCACUACUGGGUGUUGUGCCCAGAUCUCGACCCCCAGAGAGACCACUGAAGAUGAGCGUGCCAGAACGCAAGAGCAAGGCUUUAUUCAGGAGCAAAUACAAGCGUAGGCAGGGACCUCAUCAAGCACAUCUGAUGCAGUGGAGGCUGGAGGAGGUGCUCAGCCUGAAUGGAGCACAGCUUUUAAAGGCAAAACCCACAACAUUACAAUAACAGGGGACAUGCAGAAGAACAUUCUGCCCUUCAGCAACUUGGGGCAGAACUGCUUCAACAGUGACUUUUGUAGUGAUGAGAGAGACUAAGGGGGAAGAAAGAACAUGCAUGUUUGGUACCUGAGGCUUUGGUAACUAUCACGCCUACAAGGCGGGGCCAAGGGAGGACCCUGAAGACCCGAGAUCCAGAUGGACCAGCUCUCUCUGUUCUUGGACCCUGGAUGGUGGAGGUUCACCAAGCAGAGCCCCAGAGAACACCGAUGGACUGCGAUACACCUUCCCCAGACCCUGCGACCUACCUAUCCCUUCAAUUGUA
Peromyscus eremicus (cactus mouse) is the source of this 1705-nucleotide long non-coding RNA. RefSeq lists it as uncharacterized. The record is from RefSeq and is a predicted model, not a curated record. The transcript is spliced from 4 exons. Lineage: Eukaryota; Metazoa; Chordata; Mammalia; Rodentia; Cricetidae.